GAGGAUGUAGCUCAGUUGGUAGAGUGCUUGCCUCACAUGCAUAAGGCCCUGGGUUCAAUCCCCAGCACCACA
This 72-nucleotide transfer RNA is filed under the name Marmota monax (woodchuck). It matches the Rfam family "tRNA". Rfam says of the family: Transfer RNA (tRNA) molecules are approximately 80 nucleotides in length. Their secondary structure includes four short double-helical elements and three loops (D, anti-codon, and T loops). Further hydrogen bonds mediate the characteristic L-shaped molecular structure. tRNAs have two regions of fundamental functional importance: the anti-codon, which is responsible for specific mRNA codon recognition, and the 3' end, to which the tRNAs corresponding amino acid is attached (by aminoacyl-tRNA synthetases). tRNAs cope with the degeneracy of the genetic code in two manners: having more than one tRNA (with a specific anti-codon) for a particular amino acid; and 'wobble' base-pairing, i.e. permitting non-standard base-pairing at the 3rd anti-codon position. The record is from Rfam by way of RNAcentral. Lineage: Eukaryota; Metazoa; Chordata; Mammalia; Rodentia; Sciuridae.